Molecule: ribosomal RNA, 279 nt
Filed under: Phascolarctobacterium faecium
Lineage: Bacteria; Bacillati; Bacillota; Negativicutes; Acidaminococcales; Acidaminococcaceae
Description: partial 16S ribosomal RNA
Rfam family: Bacterial small subunit ribosomal RNA
Source: RNAcentral
UAUGGUGUGUGCCAGCCGCCGCGGUAAUACGUAGGUGGCGAGCGUUGUCCGGAAUUAUUGGGCGUAAAGAGCAUGUAGGCGGCUUAAUAAGUCGAGCGUGAAAAUGCGGGGCUCAACCCCGUAUGGCGCUGGAAACUGUUAGGCUUGAGUGCAGGAGAGGAAAGGGGAAUUCCCAGUGUAGCGGUGAAAUGCGUAGAUAUUGGGAGGAACACCAGUGGCGAAGGCGCCUUUCUGGACUGUGUCUGACGCUGAGAUGCGAAAGCCAGGGUAGCGAACGGG